CGAUGGCCGCAGGCAGGUAUUGCGCAGUGGGCACCCCGGCAUGGAUGCCGGGGUAGCCGCGACACGGCCAUGGAUGGCCGAUCGCGGCGGGCCCACGGAGCAAUGCCUGCCUGCGGGCAUGC
Molecule: non-coding RNA, 122 nt
Organism: Pseudomonas brenneri
Lineage: Bacteria; Pseudomonadati; Pseudomonadota; Gammaproteobacteria; Pseudomonadales; Pseudomonadaceae
Source: Rfam